Hevea brasiliensis (rubber tree) is the source of this 695-nucleotide long non-coding RNA. RefSeq lists it as uncharacterized. The record is from RefSeq and is a predicted model, not a curated record. Lineage: Eukaryota; Viridiplantae; Streptophyta; Magnoliopsida; Malpighiales; Euphorbiaceae. The transcript is spliced from 2 exons.
AAACUUAGAACCCCUAAAACCAAAGUCGUGUUCUAACCCAAAUGCCCCCAUUCUUCCUCUCUCUCCCUUACGGCACUCUCCCAUCCUUACUCCUCGAUCUGUUGUCUUUUGUUGUUCAUGACACCGCAGCCACUGCCCCCAGCCCCCUUCCUCCUUGGACUAUAACAUCUUUCUCAACCUUACUCUUUGCUCAUUUUUGCUCUGUGCUUUUAUGAGUUAAGGGGCUCUUUGGUGGAAAAUUGUGCCAAUAAUAACAGCAAAUAUUCAAUUGAUGAAGGAAAUGGGAUGGGAGGAUCUAGUCGUAGUGAAUUGUUGGCUUCUAUCAGUGCGUAUUUGUCAGGGAAUAGACUAGAGGGUUCUAUGGAAAUUGUGCUUUGACUAUUCAGAAAUAUUGUUAAGGAGCCAAGUAAUAUAAAGUUUAGGAAUAUUAGAUGGCGAAUGCGAAGAUUUGGGAGGCUGCUAGUGACAUUGCAAGAGGGGUUGAAUUGUUGGAGUGUUGGGUUUGAGUUUAAGGAGAAGGGUGGAGCAAUGUGGGUGCAACACCCCUUACCAAAUCUAUAGAGAAACCGGGCAAAGGAAUGUCAUAUUCUGUGCACGGAGCACCUAAACAUGUAUUUGAACAAUUUUCUUGCUUAAUGUUUACUUUUUAUUUUUAAUAAAUAUCAAAGGAAAAAACUGCAAGAGUUUUCCCUAAA